UACGUAGGUGGCAAGCGUUAUCCGGAAUUAUUGGGCGUAAAGAGCGCGCAGGCGGUCCUUUAAGUCUGAUGUGAAAUCACGUGGCUCAACCACGUGCGGUCAUUGGAAACUGGAGGACUUGAGUGCAGAAGAGGAAAGUGGAAUUCCAAGUGUAGCGGUGAAAUGCGUAGAGAUUUGGAGGAACACCAGUGGCGAAGGCGACUUUCUGGUCUGUAACUGACGCUGAGGCGCGAAAGCGUGGGGAGCAAACAGGAUUAGAUA
Molecule: ribosomal RNA, 261 nt
Filed under: uncultured prokaryote
Description: partial 16S ribosomal RNA
Rfam family: Bacterial small subunit ribosomal RNA
Source: RNAcentral